GACGAACGCUGGCGGCGUGCUUAACACAUGCAAGUCGAGCGAUGAAGCACCUUCGGGUGUGGAUUAGCGGCGAACGGGUGAGGAACACGUGAGGAAUCUGCCUUCCACUCUGGGAUAACUCCGGGAAACCGGGGCUAAUACCGGAUAUUUUCAACUGGCGGCAUCGCCGGUCGAAGAAAGUUUUUCGGUGGAAGAUGACCUCGCGGCCUAUCAGCUUGUUGGUGAGGUAAAGGCUCACCAAGGCGACGACGGGUAGCCGGCCUGAGAGGGUGACCGGCCACACUGGGACUGAGACACGGCCCAGAGUCCUACGGGAGGCAGCAGUGGGGAAUAUUGGGCAAUGGAGGAAACUCUGACCCAGCGACGCCGCGUGAGGGAUGAAGGCCUUCGGGUUGUAAACCUCUUUCAGCAGGGAAUAAGCGAAAGUGAAGGUACCUGCAGAAGAAGCACCGGCUAACUAUGUGCCAGCCGCCGCCGUAA
This 480-nucleotide ribosomal RNA is filed under the name uncultured bacterium. RNAcentral describes it as "partial 16S ribosomal RNA". It matches the Rfam family "Bacterial small subunit ribosomal RNA", at positions 28 to 523 of the family's 1533-position model. The record is from RNAcentral.